UACGUAGGGGGCUAGCGUUGUCCGGAAUCAUUGGGCGUAAAGAGCGUGUAGGCGGCCCGGUAAGUCCGCUGUGAAAGUCGGGGGCUCAACCCUCGGAUGCCGAUCGAUACUGUCGGGCUAGAGUCCGGAAGAGGCGAGUGGAAUUCCUGGUGUAGCGGUGAAAUGCGCAGAUAUCAGGAGGAACACCAAUGGCGAAGGCAGCUCGCUGGGACGGUACUGACGCUGAGGCGCGAAAGCGUGGGGAGCAAACAGG
RNAcentral lists this ribosomal RNA (253 nucleotides) under uncultured bacterium. RNAcentral describes it as "partial 16S ribosomal RNA". It matches the Rfam family "Bacterial small subunit ribosomal RNA", at positions 524 to 776 of the family's 1533-position model. The record is from RNAcentral.